GCCGGGCGUGGUGGUGGGCGCCUGUAGUCCCAGCUACUCAGGAGGCUGAGGCAGGAGAAUCGCUUGAACCCAGGAGGCGGAGGUUGCAGUAAGCCGAGAUCAUGCCACUGCACUCCAGCCUGGGUGACAGAGCGAGACUCUGUCUCAA
RNAcentral lists this non-coding RNA (148 nucleotides) under Pan paniscus (pygmy chimpanzee). RNAcentral also lists the same sequence under 1 other name. The record is from Rfam by way of RNAcentral. Lineage: Eukaryota; Metazoa; Chordata; Mammalia; Primates; Hominidae.